AUGCUGGAAAAGGCAUCCUCAAACUGGGAUCAAAGGGACAUAGACUUACAUUUGAACAGGGAAGCACUGAACCCCUGGGAUGUAGCUGGUGGGUUAAAGCCCACUCAUGACAAUUUUGUCGAUAGAUUCCUCCAAGACAAGAUGGAAGAUCAAGCUCCAAGGCAGAACUACAUCAGUACUCUCAAACAGCCCCUGGAUGACAACUCCUACUGGGUUGGACAUAAUCAGCUUUUCUACCAGGUGUUGAGUCCUGUGACAGCAGAAGGAGAGCUCAGAGCCACGGCCAGAAAAGCUGAGCAACGUCUAAACAGGAACCGGGAUUUUCUCUCUGACCCAUUGGUUCAGAGCCACCUCGCUGAGAGCAGCAGGGCAGAGGCCAUGGCUGAAGAGAAGCAUUCCUCUCAAGGCGGGCACCUCCUGAUCAUGCCUGCCACCACUGACACACAGGGGAAGCAACAGGAGGAAGGGUCAAUGUUCGUAAAAAAAUCUGGGAGACCCCAAGGCCCAGAUCUUGCACCGGUUCCAAAAGAACUCUUGGAUACCACGGUCAGUCAUCACCUGCGCUUGCUGGAGCCAGACGAAGGCCUGUGGGCGUUCAUGGCUCAUGUGGAGCAAGCCCUGAGGAUGGACUGCAGCCUGUCCCAGAUCAAGCAGGCCUGUGCAAGGACAGUCUCAAUGAUCGGGCUACUUCUAAAGGAGCUCAGUGAGAGGCAAGAGACCCAGGGAGCCUCUGAUCGCAUGGGCCAGUGUCCCCUGCAAGACAACAUCUCCAGACGCACAGCUUUGGAGGAUCAGGAGCCCGCAGAAAAGCCAAGGCCAGAGACUGUGGAUGACACGAUCACAUUUGUGGUUUUGCUGUCUCUCAUCGCAAUCAUUUUGCUGAUACUGAAGUGUGUCUUCCACAUGUGUUCCCAAUGUGCUGCAGCUGUUUGCCGACAGCUACCCAGCUGGAAAUUGUGGCUGAGAAGGCUGUCUAUAAAACUGAAACAGAGAUGGAGGAAGAACAAGUACAGGGAUGUAGAGGAUGCAGAGCAGGUAAGGGCAGGAACAGAUGCCAGUGCUGCUCCUCUACCUGCACCACCUGCUCUGCCUCACCUCUCUAAAUCGUUUCCUUCCAUGGCAAUUUCCAGGACUUGCCUGAGCUCAGUGAAGCUGAAUUGCUGUUGGUUCAAUACAUCAUGGAUGUCCUUGAUAAAGAGGAAGAAGAAUUGCAGAAACAAAUGCAGAACGAGAACAUAGAUGUCUCACAAGAAGAGAUACAACAUGAAGAACUUGAGUGAGGGGAAGAUGGAUGCCAACACUUCUUCUCUAGCUCCUGCACCCAUACAGGAAUUGUGGAAGCUUUCCUUUGAUUCUAAUCCUUGACUAUUUCCUUGGAUCCCAAUUCUUGCCUUGGAGGAUAUUUCCUUAGCUAUUUCCAUACUGAUAUUUCUUUGACUCUCAUUGAAUGUUACUUCCUUCACAGUUGGAUGUUAUUCCUAAUAAAUGCCUUUUUUGUGCAGCCA
This 1505-nucleotide long non-coding RNA is filed under the name Cyanistes caeruleus (blue tit). Its description in RNAcentral is "lncRNA (ENSCCEG00000008131.1)". The record is from RNAcentral. Lineage: Eukaryota; Metazoa; Chordata; Aves; Passeriformes; Paridae.